RNAcentral lists this non-coding RNA (47 nucleotides) under Pseudomonas oryzae. RNAcentral's name for it is "Guanidine-II riboswitch aptamer (mini-ykkC)". It matches the Rfam family "Guanidine-II riboswitch aptamer (mini-ykkC)". Rfam says of the family: Simpler in structure and has fewer highly conserved nucleotide positions than the ykkC-yxkD leader. Despite this each of its two stem-loop structures directly bind free guanidine. The record is from Rfam by way of RNAcentral. Lineage: Bacteria; Pseudomonadati; Pseudomonadota; Gammaproteobacteria; Pseudomonadales; Pseudomonadaceae. RNAcentral also lists the same sequence under 1 other name.
AACCACGGACGACCGUGGUGCAGAAGAUUUCCGGCGGGACGACCCGC